UGUGACUUCCAGACAUAGAUUGAGCCAAA
RNAcentral lists this non-coding RNA (29 nucleotides) under Rattus norvegicus (Norway rat). Lineage: Eukaryota; Metazoa; Chordata; Mammalia; Rodentia; Muridae. The record is from RNAcentral.